UGCAAGGCGUGUAAACCCCAUGCCUUUCAUUUGCUGCAGCAUUCUCAGAUGAAAAUCUCCCAAAAUGCAGCAACCAGCAACAUUGAUUUGGUGAAUCGAUUUUAACAGUAUGAUUGAUUAUCCUGAAGCCUUGUUUUUUAGAAUGGUCGGAAUUGGAAAGAAAAUACACUGGGUGACAAGACUUGGAUCUAUUCCAUCGUCAACAAAAGUGACCUUAGUGACAAUGUCAUAAGCAUUGGUAGGCUCUUGACUCGGGAGAGCCACAGGAACCACGUAGUCUGCCAGCGUCCAUAACAAGCCUUCCUCCAGCGCUUUACACUACUAAACAUGCCUAUUGUUAGUUAAAAUGUAUUACAGAUAUGGAAUUAACCUAAUUGCUUUGAAAGGUGCUAACUUUCUAUCCAUUGAAUAUUGAGACUUACCGAUGGAGUUUAUAUGUAAUAUGCACAUAUUUAAUAUUGUGAUUAUGAUUGGUAGUUUCAAAAGAUUC
This is a long non-coding RNA of Cryptomeria japonica (Japanese cedar), 490 nucleotides long. RefSeq lists it as uncharacterized. NCBI's taxonomy places the organism in Eukaryota, Viridiplantae, Streptophyta, Pinopsida, Cupressales, Cupressaceae. The record is from RefSeq and is a predicted model, not a curated record. The transcript has 3 exons.